GACAGAGGGUGCAAACGUUGUUCGGAAUUACUGGGCGUAAAGCGCGUGUAGGUGGCAAGGCAAGUCGGGUGUGAAGCCUGGCUCAACCCAGGAAGUGCACUCGAUACUGCCUCGCUAGAGUCCGGAGAGGUUGGUGGAACUCUCGGUGUAGAGGUGAAAUUCGUAGAUAUCGAGAAGAACACCGGUGGCGAAGGCGGCCAACUGGACGGUGACUGACACUGAGACGCGAAAGCGUGGGAGCAACAGGG
RNAcentral lists this ribosomal RNA (248 nucleotides) under uncultured bacterium. RNAcentral describes it as "partial 16S ribosomal RNA". It matches the Rfam family "Bacterial small subunit ribosomal RNA", at positions 524 to 776 of the family's 1533-position model. The record is from RNAcentral.